Long non-coding RNA from Homalodisca vitripennis (glassy-winged sharpshooter), 415 nucleotides. RefSeq lists it as uncharacterized. Lineage: Eukaryota; Metazoa; Arthropoda; Insecta; Hemiptera; Cicadellidae. The transcript has 3 exons. The record is from RefSeq and is a predicted model, not a curated record.
UGUUUGAAAGUGCUUAGAGUUAUUUUUGCUAAUCGUCAUCGAACCUGCGGUUGGAGGUUUUCAUGCUGGAACUGGCUCACACUCCAGUUCACCUGGCAGGAAUGGACUUGUUCACGUUUGACAACUCCCUCAUCACCGAUGUUGCCGCAUUCUCCAUGUCCAUGAUGAUGAUUUUCGUCCAGUUCUUGACGUAGGGUGUGUAAAGUGUCACCACACCAACACAAUGACAUCAUAUUCUAUUACCAGUUUUCAGAAACUACAUAUUAUACAGCAUGGCUGUAGGAAAACACAAUAAAGAUAACAAAUAACGGACAGAUUUCCUGAAUACUUUCAGCAGUAUUGUAUUUAUAUUUUAGUAAGAAUAUAUUUGUGUUUAAAAUUAACACAGUGAUGUUUCCUACCCAAUGUCACACAA